RNAcentral lists this ribosomal RNA (304 nucleotides) under Coolia tropicalis. RNAcentral describes it as "partial large subunit ribosomal RNA". It matches the Rfam family "Eukaryotic large subunit ribosomal RNA", at positions 295 to 549 of the family's 3401-position model. The record is from RNAcentral. Lineage: Eukaryota; Dinophyceae; Peridiniales; Ostreopsidaceae.
GGUGGUAAAUUCCAUCCAAUGUAACAAUAUAACAUUGAGUCUGAUAACAAACAAGUACCAUGAGGGAAAUAUGAAAAGGACUUUGGAAAGAGAAUUAAAAGAGUUUGCAUUUGCUUGGCAUAAAACAAAUUAAUGUUGUCAUGGCCAAAAAAUUGUUGCAUUCCUGGGUGUGUGCCAACAUUGCUCAGCAAGUGUAAUGCUUCUUUCCCCAACAAAGCUGUUGCAUUCAUGGAUCAUUCUUGUUUGGUGCUGGGAAUAUGUGUUGCAUAGUGGUGCUCUGUUUGCAUUUCUGAUUUCUUAUGUU